CUCCCCAGCCUCCCCAGCCUCGUGGGACUGUGGGGCUGGAAGGGCUUUGCAGCAGCCAAGGCACAGACUGGUGAGGACCAGGGAAACGCAGCGGGGGGAAAUUGCUCUUUUCCAAGAAAAGCAUCCUCCUGGAAGUGGCCAGCAAGGCACCCCUCAAUCCUCUGAAGCUGGGGUGGCUCCAGCACCCCCACAGGCCCCUCUGGGGGUGGGGGGUGGGCACAGAGCAGACCCUGAAGCAGCUCUGGCAGCCCCACUCACCUCCCUGGGGCUGAACACCCAGCCCCACAUCCAUCAUUUCCUUUCCCCAUUCCCCUCACAGUACCUGCUGUCAGGAAUGGCAAGUUUCCCUGGAGGGAGGCCAGAGUCCACAGUAAAAGCUUCAAAAUGCUGUUUUUCCACCCAAACCAGGCCAGCAGCAGCAGCAGCAGCAGCGAGUGCUUUGGUGUUUCUCGUGCGGGGUGAGGUGACCUGGUUUGGUUUUGGGGCUGAUCAAGUAUUCAUCAUGAAGGUCUCUGCAAACUCCAAAGCCAAAGGAACGAGGCCAUCUGGAGGUGCUGGGCUUUGAUCUCAUCUCUGGUGAAGCCUCCUCAUGCAUGGGAGCUGAAGGAAUGCGAGUUCAGCAGAGAAGGGAGAAGCUGCUCCAACCCGAACCACGCGGGAUCCUCGCCAGGAGCGGAGGAACGCAGGAGCGGAGGGCAGAGCAUUCCCAGCGCUGGGGGAUCCAGGGAUGCUCCGGGGAUGCUCCAGCGCUCUCCACCCCUCCGGCUCCCUCUGCUGCUCCCAAACCCCGGCUCUGCAGAGCCCGGGCCUUCCUUUCCCGUGUCGGUUGAAGAGUUAAACCUCAAAAACAGUGUUAACCUCAUUAGACACUGCAACCACAGGAAACCCCGCACUGCUCCCGCCUCUCCUCGCAGGAGGAAAUGUCGGCGAGGAGAAUUUACCCACCCGGGGAAAGGCAGAGCCUCCCUCUGCCAGCGAGCCCUGCCUGCCCCGGGGUUUCACUGAUCCACGGGGAUUUUUUGUGGAAGUGAGAGCAGGAGCCUGCCAGCACCGCGGGGUGAAGCCUGGCUGGGCGGUGUGGUUAUAGAAUGUGUACAAUGAUGUAUAUAAUGUAUAUAAUGAUGUAUAUAAUGUGUCUGGAUGGUUAUAGGAACCUGUGGGUUUGUGUAGUUGCACACACCCCGAGCAGGACCGGGGGUUUUAGUGGGAAUUUCAGCUCUGGGAUGUUCUGGGAGUGCUGAAUGCCCGGGACACACGGCUGGGGCUGCCCGGCCAGCGCGCACAUCUGGAGCCAGCUCAUCUCACCCGGGGCUGGGCUGGCACUGAGGACAGCACAUCUGGGCCCAGCCAGCACAUCUGGAGCUGGCACCGUGCGGGGGAUGUGGGGCUUUCCCAGGACAGGCCAGAGCUUCCUGCAUUUCCCAGCCCCCGAUCUUCCUGUUUGACUGAUGUGUCCUUAUCUCUUCCUGAGCGCUCAGAGCUGCAGC
Molecule: long non-coding RNA, 1487 nt
Organism: Prinia subflava (tawny-flanked prinia)
Lineage: Eukaryota; Metazoa; Chordata; Aves; Passeriformes; Cisticolidae
Exons: 3
Source: RefSeq, a predicted model, not a curated record